This 298-nucleotide unclassified non-coding RNA is filed under the name Hevea brasiliensis (rubber tree). The record is from RNAcentral. Lineage: Eukaryota; Viridiplantae; Streptophyta; Magnoliopsida; Malpighiales; Euphorbiaceae.
GCCUGUCUUCCUUGGCUUGCAUCUCGAAAUAGAAGUAAUCUAAUCGUGUCAGCAUAUCCCUUGUAUGCAGCCCAAUGAAGAGGGCUCCUCCCUUCAUUGUCUGGGUGCAUCAAAAUCAGCAUGAUACUUUGCAACAAUGUGAUUUAAGAAAGCUGUUUGUCCAUACUGGGCAGAAACAUGAACUGCCCGAUAGCCAUUUAUAUCAGUUGCCUCGACUCGAGCUCCAUUCUGCAACAGCACAUCUGCCACAGCAAUUGAACCCCUAACCGCAGCCCAAUGCAUUGCUGUCUGCUGCAUA